RNAcentral lists this ribosomal RNA (490 nucleotides) under Purpureocillium lilacinum. RNAcentral describes it as "partial large subunit ribosomal RNA". It matches the Rfam family "Eukaryotic large subunit ribosomal RNA", at positions 91 to 590 of the family's 3401-position model. Lineage: Eukaryota; Fungi; Ascomycota; Sordariomycetes; Hypocreales; Ophiocordycipitaceae. The record is from RNAcentral.
GAGUGAAGCGGCAACAGCUCAAAUUUGAAAUCUGGCCCCCAGGGCCCGAGUUGUAAUUUGCAGAGGAUGCUUUUGGCGCGGUGCCUUCCGAGUUCCCUGGAACGGGACGCCAUAGAGGGUGAGAGCCCCGUCUGGUCGGACGCCUAGCCUGUGUAAAGCUCCUUCGACGAGUCGAGUAGUUUGGGAAUGCUGCUCUAAAUGGGAGGUAUAUGUCUUCUAAAGCUAAAUACCGGCCAGAGACCGAUAGCGCACAAGUAGAGUGAUCGAAAGAUGAAAAGCACUUUGAAAAGAGGGUUAAAUAGUACGUGAAAUUGUUGAAAGGGAAGCGCUUGUGACCAGACUUGGGCCCGGUGGAUCAUCCAGCGUUCUCGCUGGUGCACUCCGCCGGGUUCAGGCCAGCAUCAGUUCGCCGCGGGGGAAAAAGGCUUCGGGAACGUGGCUCCUACGGGAGUGUUAUAGCCCGUUGCAUAAUACCCUGGGGCGGACUGAG